This is a transfer RNA of Camelus ferus (Wild Bactrian camel), 73 nucleotides long. It matches the Rfam family "tRNA". From Rfam's summary of the family: Transfer RNA (tRNA) molecules are approximately 80 nucleotides in length. Their secondary structure includes four short double-helical elements and three loops (D, anti-codon, and T loops). Lineage: Eukaryota; Metazoa; Chordata; Mammalia; Artiodactyla; Camelidae. The record is from Rfam.
GACGGUAUAGCUCAAGUGGUAGAGCACCUGCUUAACAUACAUGAGGUCCUGGGUUCAAUUCCCAGUACCUCUU